AGGAGGAAAACGUAAUUAUGUCUUGUGAAUCCGCGCUAGAACGAAUAUGGGGGGGAGAGACGCCAUGGCGUUGUUUACAUCCCGGGGCCCAGUAGCAGGUCCCAGCCUCUUCCUUCUCGGGUGAUUUCUAGAGUAAAUAAUUGAGAGAAGACUACAAGUGUGUCCCAUCCCUGAAUUGGGAGUUCCCUGCUUUGUGCUUUUAAGUCAGGCCAACAGGUUGAGACACAAGCUGUUUUGGUCAGGACUUGAGGAUGUUGACCAGAGUCCGCUAAUAUCCUUCAAUAUUUAGUGUUACAGACACCUGCUCCAAGUGAUACGCCAUGACAGAAGUGUUCCAGUUCGGCCUCGUGCCCAUCGCUUGUCGUGCCCGGAAUGAGGACCGCAGCCGUGAGUACCGACCUAUAUGAAGUUAAAUAGCACUUGCCUGGCAGAAGUGGCAUUGAGUCUCAACAACAAUGAAGUGAAUAUAUAUGGCAGAGCUGCAUCAGAGUGGAAGCUUCAGGAAACACUCCAGGGUCAUGAUCUGCGUGUCACAGGCAUUGACUGGGCUCCCAGCACCAAUCGCAUUGUUACAUGUGGAGCAGUGACCUUCCUGGAAAUUACCGAGACUUAGUGUGCUUUGAAAAAGUCUUCUGGAGAGUGGGUCCAGGACUUACACCUGCAAACUUCCUGUUUCUUGGGUUGAGAAAAGAUGUAUACUACUCCCACGAGGAAAGAACGACUAUCUUUGAUUAUAUCGU
Molecule: unclassified non-coding RNA, 740 nt
Filed under: Homarus americanus (American lobster)
Lineage: Eukaryota; Metazoa; Arthropoda; Malacostraca; Decapoda; Nephropidae
Description: actin-related protein 2/3 complex subunit 1A-like, transcript variant X1
Source: RNAcentral